This 691-nucleotide ribosomal RNA is filed under the name Enterobacteriaceae bacterium HGA0159. Its description in RNAcentral is "bacterial SSU rRNA". It matches the Rfam family "Bacterial small subunit ribosomal RNA", at positions 77 to 762 of the family's 1533-position model. Lineage: Bacteria; Pseudomonadati; Pseudomonadota; Gammaproteobacteria; Enterobacterales; Enterobacteriaceae. The record is from RNAcentral.
AGCUUGCUCUCGGGUGACGAGCGGCGGACGGGUGAGUAAUGUCUGGGAAACUGCCUGAUGGAGGGGGAUAACUACUGGAAACGGUAGCUAAUACCGCAUAAUGUCGCAAGACCAAAGUGGGGGACCUUCGGGCCUCAUGCCAUCAGAUGUGCCCAGAUGGGAUUAGCUAGUAGGUGGGGUAACGGCUCACCUAGGCGACGAUCCCUAGCUGGUCUGAGAGGAUGACCAGCCACACUGGAACUGAGACACGGUCCAGACUCCUACGGGAGGCAGCAGUGGGGAAUAUUGCACAAUGGGCGCAAGCCUGAUGCAGCCAUGCCGCGUGUGUGAAGAAGGCCUUCGGGUUGUAAAGCACUUUCAGCGGGGAGGAAGGCGAUAAGGUUAAUAACCUUGUCGAUUGACGUUACCCGCAGAAGAAGCACCGGCUAACUCCGUGCCAGCAGCCGCGGUAAUACGGAGGGUGCAAGCGUUAAUCGGAAUUACUGGGCGUAAAGCGCACGCAGGCGGUCUGUCAAGUCGGAUGUGAAAUCCCCGGGCUCAACCUGGGAACUGCAUUCGAAACUGGCAGGCUAGAGUCUUGUAGAGGGGGGUAGAAUUCCAGGUGUAGCGGUGAAAUGCGUAGAGAUCUGGAGGAAUACCGGUGGCGAAGGCGGCCCCCUGGACAAAGACUGACGCUCAGGUGCGAAAGCGU